UAUCAAGACAGUUCCAUUACUGAAUAUUAGUAAAAACAGACCACCAAACCAAUCUAUAGAUACAUGGUAGAGUUAAACCAUCCAUGGGCAUUGGUAUUGUUGACUCCAAGGCUCCAAAGAGAACAUUAACAACACAUAGUAAAUGGGGAUUUUUGUAGAGCUCUCAACAGAGAAAAGAUUAUUGCCAAUGCCAAUGCCCAAAUUUUAGGAUUUGUUCGAAUGUAGUCAGAUUUCCUAAUUCUUCCUUCCUUCACACAAGAUAAUAUGGUACCCAUGCGUUGACUUGAAUGGUGCACUGGUCGCUCCAACUUGAGUGGCGAAUGCAACGUCUUGAAAUGGGCCAGCCAUCUUUCCACGAGGAAACCAUCCUAAGUCACCACCUUUCUUCCCUGAAGGGCACUCGGAGUAUUCAGCUGCUAACUUAGCAAACUCUGCGGGAGGAACCUUGUCUCCAUUGCUAAGCCAACCGUCCUGCAACUUCUUGUAGGCUUCAUUGAUUUUACCCUGCUUCUCGGACAGUAUAUGCCUCGCUUUGACAUAAGUGCAAGUUCCGAGGCCAUCGGAAGCAGCUUUUCCGGAUUUUCCCUUUCCUUUGGAAGCACUUUCAUCGGCUCCAGAACCUGCUUGCUUUGCCUUCCCCUUGCCUUUACCACCCGCCUCCUUUGCCUUUGA
Molecule: unclassified non-coding RNA, 672 nt
Filed under: Hevea brasiliensis (rubber tree)
Lineage: Eukaryota; Viridiplantae; Streptophyta; Magnoliopsida; Malpighiales; Euphorbiaceae
Source: RNAcentral